RNAcentral lists this transfer RNA (76 nucleotides) under Sphingopyxis sp. JAI128. RNAcentral describes it as "tRNA-Leu". It matches the Rfam family "tRNA". Rfam says of the family: Transfer RNA (tRNA) molecules are approximately 80 nucleotides in length. Their secondary structure includes four short double-helical elements and three loops (D, anti-codon, and T loops). Lineage: Bacteria; Pseudomonadati; Pseudomonadota; Alphaproteobacteria; Sphingomonadales; Sphingopyxidaceae. The record is from RNAcentral.
GCGCGGGUAGCCCAAUGGUAGAGGCAGCGGCUUCAAGUCCCGUACAGUGCGAGUUCGACCCUCGCCCCGCGCACCA